RNAcentral lists this ribosomal RNA (468 nucleotides) under uncultured bacterium. RNAcentral describes it as "partial 16S ribosomal RNA". It matches the Rfam family "Bacterial small subunit ribosomal RNA", at positions 28 to 507 of the family's 1533-position model. The record is from RNAcentral.
GACGAACGCUGGCGGCGUGCUUAACACAUGCAAGUCGAACGGAAAGGCCCUGCUUUUGUGGGGUGCUCGAGUGGCGAACGGGUGAGUAACACGUGAGUAACCUGCCCUUGACUUUGGGAUAACUUCAGGAAACUGGGGCUAAUACCGGAUAGGAGCUCCCGCUGCAUGGUGGGGGUUGGAAAGUUUCGGCGGGUGGGGAUGGACUCGCGGCUUAUCAGCUUGUUGGUGGGGUAGUGGCUUACCAAGGCUUUGACGGGUAGGCGGCCUGAGAGGGUGACCGGGCACAAGAGGACUGAGGUACGGAGCAGACUCCUACGGGGGGCAGCAGUGGCGAGUAUUGCACAAUGAGCGGGAGCCUGAUGCAGAAACGCCGCGUGCGGGAUGACGGCCUUCGGGGUGUAAACCGCUUUCGCCUAUGACGAAGCGUGAGUGACGGUAAUGGGUAAAGAAGCACCGGCUAACUACGUG